CCGGCGGGAUGCUUUACACAUGCAAGUCGAACGGCAGCACGGACUUCGGUCUGGUGGCGAGUGGCGAACGGGUGAGUAAUGUAUCGGAACGUGUCAUAGUGGGAUAACUACGCUAAAGGCUACUGUCGCACAUUACCCUUCGGGGGAAAGCGGGGACCUUCGGGCCUCGCACUAUUAGAGCGUCGAUAUCGGAUUAGCUAGUUGGUGGGUAAACGGUCACCGGGCGACGAUCCGUGGCUGGUUUGAGAGGACGACCAGCCACACUGACUGAGACACGGCCCAGACUCCGCCGGGAGGCAGCAGUGGGGAAUUUGGACAAUGGGGAAACCCUGAUCCAGCCAUCCCGCGUGUGCGAUGAAGGCCUUCGGGUUGUAAAGCACUUUUGGCAGGAAAGAAAACGGCACGGGAUAAUACCCCGUGCAACUGACGGUACCUGCAGAAUAAGCACCGCUAACUACGCCAGCAGCCGCGGUAAUACGUAGGGUGCAAGCGUUAACGUGGACUACUGGGCGUAAAGCGCGCAGGCGGUUCGGAAAGAAAGAUGUGAAAUCCCAGAGCUUAACUUUGGAACUGCAUUUUUAACUACCGAGCUAGAGUGUGUCAGGAGGGAGGUGGAAUUCCGCGUGUAGUAGGAAUGCGUAGAUAUGCGGAGGAACACCGAUGGCGAAGGUACUCUCCUGGGAUAACACUUGACGCCUAUGCACGAAAGCGUAAGCAAACAGGAUUAGAUACCCCUGGUAGUCCACGCCCUAAACGAUGUCAAGGCUGUUGGGGCCUUCGGGCCUUGGUAGCGCAGCUAACGCGUGCAGUUGACCGCCUGGGGAGUACGGUCGCAAGAUUGAAACUCAAAGGAAUGAUUGGGACUCCGCACAAGCGGUAGAUGAUGUGGAUUAAUUCGAUGCAACGCGAAAAACCUUACCUACCCUUGACAUCUGGAAUCCCGAAGAGACGGGGAGGCUCGCGGGGCAGAACCGGAACACAGGUGCUGCAUGGCUGUCGUCAGCUCGUGUCGUGAGAUGUUGGGUUAAGUCUCAACGAGCGCAACCCUUGUCAUUAGUUGCUACGAAAGGGCACUUUAAUGAGAUCUGCCGGCACAACCGAGGAAGGUGGGGAUGACGUCAAGUCCUCAUAUCUUUAUGGGUAGGGCUUCACACGUCAUACAAUGGUCGGGACAGAGGGUCGCCAACCUCAUGAGGGGAGCCAAUCCCAGAAACCCGAUCGUAGUCCGGAUCGCGGUCUGCAACCUCGGACUGCGGAAGUCGGAAUCGCUAGUAAUCGCGGAUCAGCAUGUCGCGGUGAAUACGUUCCCGGUCUUGUACACACCGCCCGUCACACCAUGGGGAGUGGGUUUUACCAGAGUGUUAGGCCUAACCGUAAGGAGGGCGAUUACCACGGUAGGAUUCAUGACUGGGGUGAAGUCGUAACAAGGUAG
RNAcentral lists this ribosomal RNA (1432 nucleotides) under uncultured Bordetella sp. RNAcentral describes it as "partial 16S-23S ribosomal RNA intergenic spacer". It matches the Rfam family "Bacterial small subunit ribosomal RNA". The record is from RNAcentral. Lineage: Bacteria; Pseudomonadati; Pseudomonadota; Betaproteobacteria; Burkholderiales; Alcaligenaceae.